RNAcentral lists this ribosomal RNA (665 nucleotides) under uncultured Lachnospiraceae bacterium. Its description in RNAcentral is "bacterial SSU rRNA". It matches the Rfam family "Bacterial small subunit ribosomal RNA", at positions 64 to 725 of the family's 1533-position model. Lineage: Bacteria; Bacillati; Bacillota; Clostridia; Lachnospirales; Lachnospiraceae. The record is from RNAcentral.
GAACGAAGUGCCUUUGAAAGAGGAUUCGUCCAAUUGAUAAGGUUACUUAGUGGCGGACGGGUGAGUAACGCGUGAGGAACCUGCCUUGGAGUGGGGAAUAACACAGUGAAAAUUGUGCUAAUACCGCAUAAUGCAGUUGGGCCGCAUGGCUCUGACUGCCAAAGAUUUAUCGCUCUGAGAUGGCCUCGCGUCUGAUUAGCUAGUUGGUGGGGUAACGGCCCACCAAGGCGACGAUCAGUAGCCGGACUGAGAGGUUGGCCGGCCACAUUGGGACUGAGACACGGCCCAGACUCCUACGGGAGGCAGCAGUGGGGAAUAUUGGGCAAUGGGCGCAAGCCUGACCCAGCAACGCCGCGUGAAGGAAGAAGGCUUUCGGGUUGUAAACUUCUUUUCUUAGGGACGAAGCAAGUGACGGUACCUAAGGAAUAAGCCACGGCUAACUACGUGCCAGCAGCCGCGGUAAUACGUAGGUGGCAAGCGUUAUCCGGAUUUACUGGGUGUAAAGGGCGUGUAGGCGGGAUUGCAAGUCAGAUGUGAAAACCACGGGCUCAACCUGUGGCCUGCAUUUGAAACUGUAGUUCUUGAGUACUGGAGAGGCAGACGGAAUUCCUAGUGUAGCGGUGAAAUGCGUAGAUAUUAGGAGGAACACCAGUGGCGAAGGCGGU